This 253-nucleotide ribosomal RNA is filed under the name uncultured bacterium. Its description in RNAcentral is "partial 16S ribosomal RNA". It matches the Rfam family "Bacterial small subunit ribosomal RNA", at positions 524 to 776 of the family's 1533-position model. The record is from RNAcentral.
UACGUAGGCAGCAAGCGUUGUUCGGAGUUACUGGGCGUAAAGGGUGCGUAGGCGGCUUCUUAAGUCUGGUGUGAAAUCUCCCGGCUCAACUGGGAGGGGGCUAGGCAGACGGCGGAGCUUGAGGCUCGGAGGGGGGCGUGGAAUUCCGGGUGGAGCGGUGAAAUGCGUAGAGAUCCGGAGGAACACCAACGGCGAAGGCAGCGCCCUGGACGAGACCUGACGCUCAGGCACGAAAGCUGGGGGAGCAAACAGG